Molecule: unclassified non-coding RNA, 1368 nt
Filed under: Drosophila virilis
Lineage: Eukaryota; Metazoa; Arthropoda; Insecta; Diptera; Drosophilidae
Description: GJ19587
Source: RNAcentral
AUUUAAAUGUGUUCUUGUCUCUUUUUCGUUUAGUUGUCGGCAGCUAAACUGACGCUGCAACAGAUAAAUGCGUAGAGUUGUGUGGCACCCCUUGGAGUUUAUAGCGGCUCGCAAACAACGCGACGCGAUAAGGCCGGUCAGAAAGUAUCUCAAGGUUAUGUUGUUUGAAUUGCAGCUUCGCGUAUUCUCUUUAUCGCUAAGAGCGCGUAUAAGCAAGAGCUAUUCGCGAUUAUUAUUGUAUAUAAAUUGUCAGCCAAAUUGAAGCGGCACCCACAGCUUGUUCGCCAGUCUCGUCAGCGAUUCGAACGCUCCAGGUGCGCUCGCUAUUUGUUCAGCCAACUGCGAUAGACAGUGCGUGCCUUUGUUUAUUGUUAAAUUCAAUUUUUUAUGAAACUAUAUUCAUUAGCCUUGCUCAGUACUAAAUAAUAAAAGUAGAAAAAAUGCGUUUGAUUAUCUUGGAAACAAGCGAAUCGGUUGGGAAUUGGGCGGCCAAGUAUGUGGUCAAGCGGAUCAAUGAUUUCAAGCCGGGACCCGAUAGAUACUUUGUGCUGGGCCUGCCCACGGGUAGCACACCUUUGGGCAUGUACAGAGCCCUGAUUGAGUUCUACAAACAGGGCAAGGUCUCCUUUCGGUACGUGAAGACCUUCAAUAUGGAUGAGUAUGUGGGUCUGCCGCGUGAUCAUCCCGAGAGCUAUCACUAUUUUAUGUGGCACAAUUUCUUCAAACACAUCGAUAUUGAGCCCGCGAAUGUGCAUAUAUUGGAUGGAAAUGCGCCCGAUUUGGUUGCCGAGUGCAAACAGUUUGAGGAGCUGAUCAAGGAAGCUGGCGGCGUAGAGCUAUUCAUUGGCGGCAUUGGACCCGAUGGCCAUAUAGCCUUCAAUGAGCCCGGCUCAUCGUUGGUCUCGCGCACACGUGUCAAGACGCUGGCACAGGAUACGCUGGAGGCGAAUGCUCGUUUCUUUGAUAAUGACAUUAAUAAAGUGCCCAAACAGGCGCUCACUGUGGGCGUCGGCACCGUCAUGGAUUCAAAUGAGGUCAUGAUCCUGAUUACCGGCGCCCACAAGGCCUUCGCUCUCUAUAAGGCCAUCGAGGAGGGCGUCAAUCAUAUGUGGACUGUCAGCGCAUUCCAGCAGCAUGCAAAUACUUUGAUGAUCUGCGAUGAAGACGCGACACUGGAGCUGCGCGUAAAGACGGUUAAAUACUUCCAGACUGUUCAAGCAAAUGAAUCUAAAGACUGUUUAAAAGAAACUCUAAUGAAAAAUAUUGGAACUCAAGAAAUGUUUCAGAAACUGUGAGGGAGGACUUUCAAGAGCUAAACAAAGGGAUGCAAUAAAUAAGAAGAAUAAAUACAAAAGCCUUAUGGGUGUA